Molecule: ribosomal RNA, 493 nt
Filed under: uncultured bacterium
Lineage: Bacteria
Description: partial 16S ribosomal RNA
Rfam family: Bacterial small subunit ribosomal RNA
Source: RNAcentral
AGUGAACGCUGGCGGUAGGCCUAGCACAUGCAAGUCGAACGGCAGCACAGUAAGAGCUUGCUCUUACGGGUGGCGAGUGGCGGACGGGUGAGGAAUACAUCGGAAUCUACUUUUUCGUGGGGGAUAACGUAGGGAAACUUACGCUAAUACCGCAUACGACCUACGGGUGAAAGCAGGGGAUCUUCGGACCUUGCGCGAUUGAAUGAGCCGAUGUCGGAUUAGCUAGUUGGCGGGGUAAAGGCCCACCAAGGCGACGAUCCGUAGCUGGUCUGAGAGGAUGAUCAGCCACACUGGAACUGAGACACGGUCCAGACCCCUACGGGAGGCAGCAGUGGGGAAUAUUGGACAAUGGGCGCAAGCCUGAUCCAGCCAUACCGCGUGGGUGAAGAAGGCCUUCGGGUUGUAAAGCCCUUUUUGUUGGGAAAGAAAAGCAGCAGGUUAAUACCCCGCUGUUCUGACGGUACCCAAAGAAUAAGCACCGGCUAACUUCGUG